UGCAAGGCCCUGGGUUUGAUCCUCAGCACCACAUAAAAAUAAAUAAAAAGAAAGGUAUUGUGUCCAACUACAACUAAAAACUAAAUAUUAAAAAAAAAGAUUAUGUAUAUUGCAGCAAAAGAUUGGAAACAGCAUUACAUUGAUACCUGUGAUAGGGAGCUGAUUAUGAAGCGUGAUUCAUUCACAGUGUUGCAUAUGUCAGUAUUGUUAGAAUAAGGAAGCUCAAUAGAGAAGAUUUCUGCAAUACACAUUGCUCUGCAUCUUAGUUUCUUCAUACAACAGUCUUAUUCACUGCUGUCCAUUGUUGAGAAAAUAUAUAUCUAGGAGUCUAAAAGACACCUAGACUGAAGCUAUGUAACUGGGACAAAUAAUCACCAGUGGACUUUUUCAUACGGAAUGACAGCUCUUGGCAAGUAUCUUAUUUCUCAUACAGCCUAGAAUCAAGGAAGUAGCAUUCUGAUAAACCAUUCAAAAGCCCUGACAGUAGAAAUGAUGAGAACCUGGACUUCAAAUGUACUCACAGUGGUUUUAGAUUUGCCCACAGAAAAGUAAGCAUGUAUUUUAUCCCAAAUUGACUCUAAUGUCUCCUCUUCCUGAUAUUUAGUAUUCUUUUGUGUACCUAUACAAAUGUUAACAUUAGAGUUCUUAUUUUAUAAAGAAAACUGCAUGUCUGAAGUCAUAAGUCAGUAACAGUAAGUUGUACUUUUUUAUAGCCCCUUAGAAAAGGAAGUGUCUUCUAAUCAUUCAUUAUGUUAGUUUGCCCUUUGAAUUGAUUAAAAAUCAGAACUUAUUUGUUUCUGCUUUUGUUCUCUGUAGUUAUGCUUUGUUAAACUUUGAAGUCAUCAUACUAUUUUUCUGAAACUACAUCAGACAUUUUCUUGCAAGACUAGAAGUGUUCAACCUUAAAAACACUUUGGGUACAUACCUAUAAUGCCAGCUACUCAGGAGGCUGAGGCAGGAGGAUGACUUGAGCCAAAGUAUUUCUAGCUUCCCUACCCCAAAUAAAAAGAAGUGUCUUGGUUAUGGAAUAUAAGUUGGCUAUAAAAACAGUGAACUACCGAUGGAACAACUUAGAUGUAUCUUAAGGGCAGUAUGCUGAAUGAAAAAAAAAAAAGCCUGAAAAAAAUCAAUAGUCUACAUAAUUCUGGUUAUAUAAAUAAUAAAAUUAUAGAGAUGAAGGAGAAAUAGUAGUUGCCAGAGGUCAAGGAUGGUAUUGGAGUGGAGUGGGAUAUGACUACUUAAAGGAGUAGCAUGAGAGAGACCAUUAUGUGUAUCUUGAUGACAUUAGUGGUUGCACAAGUCUACACGAAAUAAAAUGACAGAACUACAUAUGGAUUUGGUCUUUUAUAUUGUACUAUAGUUACAUAAGAUGUAACCAUGAAGGAAACGGGGUGAAAGAUACACAGGACCUCUGUAUUUAUAACUUCUUGUGCAUCUAUAAUUAUUCAAAAUAAAAAGUUAAAAUAAAUAUGUGUUCUUCCACUUCCAGGAAUAUGGAGUAGAUGUACUUUCUCUUAUUCCUACUACUAAAUAUAACUGAAACUCUGAAUAUUUUCAAAGUGCUUCAAAUAUGUGUGUGUGUGUGUAUAUGCAUAUUUAUGCUAUGUUUAUAUAUGUAUGUGUAUAUACAUGUAAGUAUGCAAAAUAAAACAACCAUAAGAAACUGAAAGGCAA
Molecule: long non-coding RNA, 1674 nt
Filed under: Marmota monax (woodchuck)
Lineage: Eukaryota; Metazoa; Chordata; Mammalia; Rodentia; Sciuridae
Source: RNAcentral